Molecule: ribosomal RNA, 459 nt
Filed under: uncultured bacterium
Lineage: Bacteria
Description: partial 16S ribosomal RNA
Rfam family: Bacterial small subunit ribosomal RNA
Source: RNAcentral
CCUACGGGUGGCAGCAGUGAGGAAUAUUGGUCAAUGGUCGGGAGACUGAACCAGCCAAGCCGCGUGAGGGAGGAAGGUACAGCGUAUCGUAAACCUCUUUUGUCAGGGAACAAAGACUGGGACGCGUCCCCGGAUGAGUGUACCUGAAGAAAAAGCAUCGGCUAACUCCGUGCCAGCAGCCGCGGUAAUACGGAGGAUGCGAGCGUUAUCCGGAUGUAUUGGGUUUAAGGGGUGCGCAGUGGGUCUGUUAAGUCAGCGGUAAAAGCCCGGGGCUAAGCCCAGCCCUGCCGUUGAAACUGGCAGUCUCGAGUUGGAGAGAGGUAUGCGGAAUGCGCGGUGUAGCGGUGAAAUGCAUAGAUAUCGCGCAGAACUCCGAUUGCGAAGGCAGCAUGCCGGCUCCACACUGACGCUGAGGCACGAAAGCGUGGGUAUCGAACAGGAUUAGAUACCCGAGUAGUC